Molecule: long non-coding RNA, 445 nt
Organism: Quercus robur (English oak)
Lineage: Eukaryota; Viridiplantae; Streptophyta; Magnoliopsida; Fagales; Fagaceae
Exons: 2
Source: RefSeq, a predicted model, not a curated record
GCCGCGUAAGCGUAACCGCAUAAAAAGAGCGUCCGGGAAAAUCGAGAUUGAGUAAAACAAGGAAGGGCAUUAUCGUCAACGAAUAUGAACGGCCACAAAAUUUCCGAGAAAAUACUAAAAACAAGGCACGCUAAAAAAUAAACCAAUAAAACAAGGGCAAAACAGUCAUUCCAGACAUCCACGUGUCGUGACCUAAACCACUCCGUCUAUGCCUAUAUAAACACCUCGCUAGGCUCAGCAAACCUCACGAAAAAAUCAAAAACACCCAGAAGUCUUUGCAACCAAAGAAAACACAACUUCUCUCUAAAUUUCUUGUGGUUCAGUUUCAAAUUAGGGUUUCGUUUAUAUUGUUCUCGCAUUUUUUUUAAAUCUUAAUUAAUCGGGUUUCGGAAAAAGAUUACCGGAGGAGCAUCCAGAUUUUUGCUACGCUUUUAAGAAUUUGUUG